UAUGCCAUUUUUAUGAGUAUGGCAGAAAUUAAGUGGGUUUUUAAACAAUUUGUUGGAAACCAACAUAAAACAAAACCACUUGUAUUUGUACUUGUAUUGCCAAAUCUCAUUGUUACUGUUUGAUUGUACAACUUGUGACAGUUAGCCUCACUAUCUCCUUUUUGAAAGGCUAUUUUCAUUUUCAGCAUUUUUUUAUUUUUAAAGACAAGAAUCUCAGGUUUGUGGUCAUCGGCGGAGGUGUGUGUGAGUGUUUGAGGUUUACAGUGCAGUUGCAGGUCGUGGUGAAGAUGUGAUGUGUGUGUGUGUGUGUGUGAGGGGAAUGGUGAGAUGGCUCAGGGACUAAGCCUGCUCUUAGUCUGCCAUCUCAGUCAGGAAAGCCUCUGCAGAUUAUCCUCGAGCUGACAGCAACCAAAAUAGAAAGAGCCUGAUUCCCUCUUUUUCUGUGCAUGUGUGCACGCGCUGCCCUUUUUUUUUUUUUUUUUUGUCUCUGUCUGUCUGUCUCUUUCUCUCCCACUCGGUUUCCCUCCUGCUGUCAUUUUUGUUUUAUUCGUACACUCUCCGAAUCCUAUCCUCACAUGGCUUUUGGCCUACUUAUUGUAUUAUCAAGCGUCAGUGUUUCAGGAUGAUAUGUAAAUCUAGCAGCCUCCAUGUCAGAAACGGACUUCGGGUCACUGAGUUUAGGCUCUACGAGUUCAAGAAAACACUUCGACAAUGGCGUAGCAAAUGGCUGUUACAUUACCAGACCCCAAGGAGGCUUUUCUGCGUAAACCUGCUGACCCUGCGCAAGCAAGACAUGCCCGUCUGACUGUAAUAAACCCCCCGUAGGGGGCCCAAGUCUCCCUCUCUCACCUUCCUAAAACACUUCCAGUUGCUGGCUCCCCUCUCUCUGCCGUGGCUCUGACGUCGGAGUCGAAUCUCCUACUUUGUCUUGAUUGUAUUAUUGUAUUAAAUCUGCAAAACACAAAUUAAAACGAAUGUAAAAGAAAUAAACGAUGAAAUGCU
Carassius gibelio (silver crucian carp) is the source of this 1002-nucleotide long non-coding RNA. RefSeq lists it as uncharacterized. The record is from RefSeq and is a predicted model, not a curated record. The transcript is spliced from 2 exons. Lineage: Eukaryota; Metazoa; Chordata; Actinopteri; Cypriniformes; Cyprinidae.